GAUGAACGCUGGCGGCGUGCUUAACACAUGCAAGUCGAACGGAAAGGCCCAAGCUUGCUUGGGUACUCGAGUGGCGAACGGGUGAGUAACACGUGGGUGAUCUGCCCUGCACUUCGGGAUAAGCCUGGGAAACUGGGUCUAAUACCGGAUAGGACGAUGGUUUGGAUGCCAUUGUGGAAAGUUUUUUCGGUGUGGGAUGAGCUCGCGGCCUAUCAGCUUGUUGGUGGGGUAAUGGCCUACCAAGGCGUCGACGGGUAGCCGGCCUGAGAGGGUGUACGGCCACAUUGGGACUGAGAUACGGCCCAGACGCCUACGGGAGGCAGCAGUGGGGAAUAUUGCACAAUGGGCGCAAGCCUGAUGCAGCGACGCCGCGUGGGGGAUGACGGCCUUCGGGUUGUAAACUCCUUUCGCUAGGGACGAAGCGUUUUGUGACGGUACCUGGAGAAGAAGCACCGGCUAACUACGUG
RNAcentral lists this ribosomal RNA (467 nucleotides) under uncultured bacterium. Its description in RNAcentral is "partial 16S ribosomal RNA". It matches the Rfam family "Bacterial small subunit ribosomal RNA", at positions 28 to 507 of the family's 1533-position model. The record is from RNAcentral.